GAUGAACGCUGGCGGCGUGCCUAAUACAUGCAAGUCGAGCGAACGGACGAGAAGCUUGCUUCUCUGAUGUUAGCGGCGGACGGGUGAGUAACACGUGGAUAACCUACCUAUAAGACUGGGAUAACUUCGGGAAACCGGAGCUAAUACCGGAUAAUAUUUUGAACCGCAUGGUUCAAAAGUUAAAGACGGUCUUGCUGGCACUUAUAGAUGUAUCCGCGCUGCAUUAGCUAUCUGGUAAGGUAACGGCUUACCAAGGCAACGAUGCAUAGCCGACCUGAGAGGGUGAUCGGCCACACUGGAACUGAGACACGGUCCAGACUCCUACGGGAGGCAGCAGUAGGGAAUCUUCCGCAAUGGGCGAAAGCCUGACGGAGCAACGCCGCGUGAGUGAUGAAGGUCUUCGGAUCGUAAAACUCUGUUAUUAGGGAAGAACAUAUGUGUAAGUAACUGUGCACAUCUUGACGGUACCUAAUCAGAAAGCCACGGCUAACUACGUG
Molecule: ribosomal RNA, 497 nt
Filed under: uncultured bacterium
Lineage: Bacteria
Description: partial 16S ribosomal RNA
Rfam family: Bacterial small subunit ribosomal RNA
Source: RNAcentral